UUUGAGAGUGACGUUGUUAGGACUGUAUGCAUCUCCUUGACCCUUCUAGAACCCCUCUCUCCGCACACUUCCGCAUUUCUCUACCCAAACGACACCAUUUUGCCUCUUGCUCGCUGGUUGCACUGCUAGAGCCACCUCCUUUCUUCUUUAUCAGUCAUGUUCCUACGAGGCCGCUACACUCCUUCAUUUUUGUCUUUCACUUCCUCAAUCUUCUCCUGUCUUUUUUCUUUUUUUCCUCUUAUCUUUCUCUUUCUUCCUUUAUUUCACUUUUUAGUUGGACAUUUUCUCGAACAGUUUUUAUUCAAGCUUUAGAUUUUGAUUUUUUUUUAUUUUUUUUAGUGGAGAUAGGUAAACACAAGAUGUACAGGUUCUUAAGGAUUGUUCGAUUUGCGUUCCUUGCAGGUAGUUUUGGACACUUAUUGGACCCAAUGGAUGUGGAAAAUCUACCCUCUUGAAGUGGAGAUAGGCAAACACAGGAUGUACCGAUUCUUUAAGGAUUGUUCGAUUUGCAUUCCCUACAGGUAGUUUUGGACGCUUAUUGGACUCAAUGGGUGUGGAAAAUCUACCCUCUUAAAGAAGAAGAUAAGAAUGCUUUUGGAAUGACUCAGUCAAAAGAGCUGGCAACAUUGCUUGAAGCAGAGAAGAUUUCAUGUGGUAAAUCUGAAGUGGAUUUCAUUGUCUCUUUUUUUUUAUGGUAAACCCGAUUUGAUAUGGUAAGUUCAUUCCUUUUUGUCAUCUUUACGGUUUUAUUUGUGAAUGUUUCCUUGCACUUUUCCAUUUUAGAAGAAGAGUUUGUUCUAUUUUUAGAUUUUGAUUGUUUUGAUUUUUUUUAGUGGAGAUAAGCAAACACAGGAUGUACUGGUUCUUAAGGAUUGUUCGAUUUGCAUUCCUUGCAGGUAGUUUUGGACACUUAUUGUAGCCAAUGGGUAUGGAAAAUCUACCAUCUUGAAGAAGAUAAGAAAGCUUUUGGAACAACGCAACAUUGCUUGAAGCAAAGAAGAUUUCGUGUGGUAAAUCUGAAG
Glycine soja is the source of this 1022-nucleotide long non-coding RNA. RefSeq lists it as uncharacterized. The transcript has 4 exons. Lineage: Eukaryota; Viridiplantae; Streptophyta; Magnoliopsida; Fabales; Fabaceae. The record is from RefSeq and is a predicted model, not a curated record.